Molecule: ribosomal RNA, 474 nt
Filed under: uncultured bacterium
Lineage: Bacteria
Description: bacterial SSU rRNA
Rfam family: Bacterial small subunit ribosomal RNA
Source: RNAcentral
CAGGACGAACGCUGGCGGCGUGCUUCAUACGAUGCAAGUCGAACGAGAAGCUCACUUCGGUGAGUGGAAAGUGGCGGACGGUGAGUAAUAUGUAGAGAAUCUGCCCUAGAGAGAGGGACAACAGAGGGAAACUUCUGCUAAUACCUCAUAUGCGCGUAGCUGAGAUGCUAUUCGUGAAAACUCCGGUGCUCUAGGAUGAGUCUGCAUCUGAUUAGCUAGUUGGCGGUGUAAUGGACCACCAAGGCGACGAUCAGUAGCUGGUUUGAGAGGAUGAUCAGCCACAAUGGGACUGAGACACGGCCCAUACUCCUACGGGAGGCAGCAGUAGGGAAUUUUGCGCAAUGGGCGAAAGCCUGAACCGCAGCAACGCCGCGUGAAUGAAGAAGCCCUUCGGGGUGUAAAGUUCUGUCAGUGGGGACGAAACUUGACGGUACCCACAGAGGAAGCACCGGCUAACUCCGUGCCAGCCGCAGC